GACGAACGCUGGCGGCGUUGCUUAACACAUGCAAGUCGAGCGGUAAGGCCCUUUCGGGGGUACACGAGCGGCGAACGGGUGAGUAACACGUGGGUGACCUGCCCUCAGUUCUGGGAUAAGCCUGGGAAACCGGGUCUAAUACUGGAUAUGACCUCAUGACGCAUGUUGUGGGGUGGAAAGCCUUGUGCGACUGAGGAUGGGCCCGCGGCCUAUCAGCUUGUUGGUGGGGUGAUGGCCUACCAAGGCGACGACGGGUAGCCGGCCUGAGAGGGCGACCGGCCACACUGGGACUGAGACACGGCCCAGACUCCUACGGGAGGCAGCAGUGGGGAAUCUUGCGCAAUGGGCGAAAGCCUGACGCAGCGACGCCGCGUGAGGGAUGACGGCCUGGUGUAAC
RNAcentral lists this ribosomal RNA (397 nucleotides) under uncultured bacterium. Its description in RNAcentral is "bacterial SSU rRNA". It matches the Rfam family "Bacterial small subunit ribosomal RNA", at positions 28 to 429 of the family's 1533-position model. The record is from RNAcentral.